AAAUCAGAGCUGCAACUGCCAGCCUACACCAACCACAGCCACAAUCAUGGCAACGAGGGAUCUGAUCUGCACCUGCAACCAACACCACAGCUCAUGGCAACGCUGGAUCCCUUAACCCACUGAGCAAGCCAGGGAUCGAACCCACACCUUCAUGGAUUCUAGUCAGAUUAGUUUCUGCUGAGCCACAACAGGAACUCCAUCUCUUACAAUUCUUAUAAAAAGACCAUUAACCUGGAAUUCCUGUCGUGGCUCAAUGCUAAUGAACCCAUCUGGUAUCCAUGAGGAUGCAGGUUUGAUUCCUGGCUUGACUCAGUGGGUCGGAGAUCUAGCAUUUGCGUUGCUGUGAGUUGUGGUGUAGGUUGUAAACACAGCUUGGAUCUGGCAUGGCUGUGGCCGUGGCAUAGACUGGCAGCUGUGGCUCCAAUUCUGCCACUAGCCUGGAAACUUCCAUAUACUGCAGGUGCGGCCCUAAAAAGAAAAAAUUAGACCAAUAACCUAAUGGAAAAUGAGCAAAGGAUCUGAAUAGGAAUUUCUCCAGGAAACAUAGGCAGUAUGCCCUUUGAUAUUGGCCUUAACAAUUUUUUUUGAAUAUGUCUCCUCAAGCAAGGGAAACAAAAGCAAAAUAUAAACAAAUGAGACUAGAUCAAACUAUAAAGCUUUUGCACAGUGAAGGAAACUGUCAACAAAACAAAAACACUGCCUAUUGAAUGGGAGAAGAUAUUUGCAAAUGACAUAUCCAGUAAGGGGUUAAUAUCUAAAAUAUACAAAGAACUCAUAAAACUCAACACCAAAAAUUUUAAAAAAACUCAAUUAAAAAAUGGGCAUAAGACCCAAACAGACAUUUUUUUCUGAAGAAGAUGUACAGGUGGCCAAAGGCAUGUGAAAAGAUGCUUAACAGAUUAGUGAAUCAUGAGGGAAACACAAAUCAAAACAGUGAAAUACCACCUCAUACCUGUCAGAAUGGCUGUUAUCAAAAGGAGAACAAGUAUUGAUGGAGAAAAGGGAGCCCUUGUGCACUAUUGGUGUGAACGUAAACUAGUGCAGCCACUAUGGAAAACAGUAUGAAGGAUACUCCAAAGUUUAAAAAUAGAGCUGCCAUACAAUCCAAGAGUCCACUGGGUGUAUUUCUGAAGGAAACAAAAUCACUAAUUUGAAAUAAUAUAUGUUCAUUGCAGCAUUAUUUACAAUAGCCAAGAUAUGGAAGCAACAUAGACAUUGAUAGACAAGUAGAUAAAGAAGAUGUGGUAUAUGUAUACAAUGGAAUAUUGCUCAGCCAUGAAAAGUAAUAAAAUCUUGCCAUUUGCGACAACAUGGAUGGACCUAGAAGGUAUUAUGUUAAGUAAGAUUAAUCAGACAGAGGAAAAAAAAUACUGUAUUAUUUCACUUAUGUGUAGUAUCUAAAAAACAAAGCAAAUGAAUAAGUAUAAUUAAAUAGAAAGAGGGUCAUAGAUACAUAAAACAAACUGGUGGUCGCCAGAGGAGGGGUGGGUAGGGGAUGACAGAAAUAGGUGAAGGAGAUUAAGAGGUACAAAAUGUCAUGGGAAUGAAGUGUUCAGUGUGGGGAAUAUAGUAAUAUUUUUGUAUAGCAUCAGAUGGGAAUUAGACAUAUUUGAUGAUGAUUUAAAAUGUAUAGAAGUAUCAAAUCACUGUGUUGUACACUAGGAAUUAACAUAGUGUUGUAGGUCAAUUAUACUUUUUUUUUGUCUUUCUUUGUAGCUCCAAUUGGACCCCUAGCCUGGGAACCUCCAUAUGCCGUGGGUGUGGCCCUAAAAAACAACAACAACAAAAAACCAAACUUACAGGAAAAGAGAUGAGAUUUGUGAUCAUUGGAGGUUGGGAGUUGUGGGAAGGUGAACUGAAUGAAAGUGGUCAAAAGCUACAAACUUUAAGUUAUAAGAUAAAUGAGUCCUGGGAAUGUAACAUACAACAUGAUAAAUAACACUGCUAUAUCUUAUAUAUGAAAGCUAUUAAGAGAGUAAAUUCUAAGUGUUCUCAUCACAAGGAAAAUUUUUAUUUUUCUUUUCUUUUUUUCUGUGUGAGAUGAUAGUGUUCACUAAACUUAUUGUGGUAAUAAUCAUUUUAUGAUGUUUGUAAGUCAAAUCAUUAUGCUCUAUACCUUCAACUUACACAGCGCUAUAGGUCAAUUAUAUCUCAAUAAAACUGGAAGGAAACGUAAUUUUUAAAAAGAGCUUUGAAAACUAUAAUUCUUUCAGAAUUCCUUAUUCACUUCUAGCAUAGGACAGAUAUUGUGUUAAACCAAGAAACAUAUUUAAUCAUGAUAAAGCUUUGGAUUUCCUUUGUCAUGCAUGAUCUCAUUUGAUCUUGUCACAGCUUUUUUGUUCUUCUGCUUAAAACUCACAAAGGUUAGGAGUUCCUGCUGUGGCACAUGGUGUUAGGAAUCCCAGCUGCAGGGCUCCAGUCACUGCAGAGGCUUAGGUUUGCUCCCUAGCUGGGCACAGUGGGUUAAAGGAUCUGGUGUUGCUUCAGCUGCAAUGUAGGUCACAGCUACAGCUCGCACUCAAUCCCUGGCCUGAGAACUUCCAUAUUCCACGAGUGCGGCCAUUAAAAAAAAAAAAUUUCACAAAGGUUAGUCAUGAAACCUAAAGUCAUUUUGAGCAAGGACUCUGGAGAAUACCCUGAGAAUAAUUUGCUUGAAAAUACAUGAAUUUACUCCUCAUAGAAUCAGAUUUUUUAGUCCCUGCUUGGCCUUUAAGUCUAAGUCUUUAGACUAUGGAAUGGCUUAUGCCAAGGCCUUUGAUGCUUGAUUGUAUUAAGAGUCCAUGGUCAUUCAAGAAAGAAGGUUGGAUUGAAACACUGUAUAUACCAUGCUAAGAUUUUUUAUAAUUUUUUUAUUUUUUUGUCUACGCCCACAGCAUGCAGAAGUUCCCAGCCACAGCAGUAGCAACACUGAAUCCCCAAACUCUAGGCCAUCAGGGAACCCCAAUGCUCGGAUUUUAUUUGUGCAAUCUUGAGAAAAUAACUCUCUGUUCCUUUAUUUCCUCUUCUGUAAACCAAAUAGAUUGAACAUCAUUACUGACUUCUUAAAAAAAAAAUUUCAGAGUUCCCAUCAUGGCUCAGUGGAAACGAAUCUGACUAGUAUCCAUGACAAUGCAGGUUUGAUCCCUGGCCUCACUUAGUGGGUUAAGGAUCUGGCAUUGCCAUGAGCUAUGGUGUAGGCCAUAGAUGAGGCUUGGAUCUGCCGUUGCUGUGGCUGUGGUGUAGGCUGGCAGCUACAGCUCCGAUUGGACCUCUAGCCUGGGAACCUCCAUAUGCUACAGGUGCGGCCCUGAAAAGACCAAAAAAAAAAAAAAAA
RNAcentral lists this long non-coding RNA (3313 nucleotides) under Sus scrofa (pig). RNAcentral describes it as "lncRNA (ENSSSCG00025077408.1)". The record is from RNAcentral. Lineage: Eukaryota; Metazoa; Chordata; Mammalia; Artiodactyla; Suidae.